RNAcentral lists this microRNA (22 nucleotides) under Schistosoma mansoni. RNAcentral describes it as "sma-miR-8423-5p". Lineage: Eukaryota; Metazoa; Platyhelminthes; Trematoda; Strigeidida; Schistosomatidae. The record is from miRBase by way of RNAcentral.
UUUUCUGUUUGUAUUUUGGUUA